GGCCUCAUAGCGUAAUGGUUAACGCGUUGCUUUCCGGUGGCAAAGAGUCCAGGUUCGAAUCCUGGUGGGGUCG
Molecule: non-coding RNA, 73 nt
Organism: Cercophora sp. LCS_1
Lineage: Eukaryota; Fungi; Ascomycota; Sordariomycetes; Sordariales; Lasiosphaeriaceae
Source: the annotation of a GenBank genome assembly